This 1561-nucleotide long non-coding RNA is filed under the name Zalophus californianus (California sea lion). RNAcentral's name for it is "lncRNA (ENSZCAG00015022749.1)". Lineage: Eukaryota; Metazoa; Chordata; Mammalia; Carnivora; Otariidae. The record is from RNAcentral.
ACGCCUGAGAAGGCCCUGGGAGGCCUGACCCCCCGCCCGGGCCCCCAGGGGCAGGACCAGGGUCUCCCUCCCAGCAGCGGACGACAGAGCUCUCCCGCCAGCCCCGCCCCCCGAGCCGCCCCCCCCCCCCCCCCCCCGCCCCCGCCCCCGCCCCCGCCUCCACCUCGCUCACCCACAGCGAGCCCCCUCCGCCCCGCCCCGCAGCAGCAGCCCUCCCGCCCGCACCCCCAGGUGCCCGGCAAGGCCCCUCCCCGCCUCCGGGGGCCACGCGUGGACGCAGCCCGCAGAGGGCAGCAGAGGCGCAGCGCUGGGCCGCACGCCCGCCGGCGGUGCUUCGGUAAGUGGCACGCGGGUGCCGGGGCCUGGCAGGCGGCGGGGAGGCCGCGGUAGCGGCGUGGGAGCCCGGGGAGGGGAGGUGCCGCAGCCCGCGCCCAGCUCCGCUCGAGCGCAGGCGGCACAGGCGGCACAGGCGGCACAGGCAGGGCGUGGAAGGGCGGGCUCCCGCGGGCAGGGGCGGCCGCGGCGCGGAGGAAGGACCGGAGGUGGGACACCCAGGGGCUGCGUGCAGGGCUGCGGGCGCGGAGAGCGCAGGGGCGCGAGGGCCUGAAAGCAGCGCCGGGCACACCCGCCAGCAGCCUCCCCGCGCGUCGGGAGCCGAAGCCGUGGCGAGCCGCACGGGAGACGGGGCGGGGGGCCCCACGGGGGGGGUGGCCUACGGGGCGAGGGGGGCCCAGCGCGGCCUCGGAAAAGCACGGUGGCGCGGCAGGUGCCAGGCCGGGCGGGGAGAGGCCUCACUGAGGACUUGCUCCGGUACGGCGGGCGGAGACCCUGCGGCCGCGGCGGCACAGUGGUGACCACGGACGCGUCCUCGCCGUGGGCCUGUGUGGGGUAAGGAAACUGCUGUCAAGCGUUAACGAAAAUGCUCAAGAUCACCGAAGAGCAAAUUCACUCUUCCAACCCAGGGCUGUGUGUCCUUUGCUCUCAGACGGGCCUUGAUUCACUUCUAGACCCAGCUGGUGAACUGGCGAACGUCCAAGGUCCCAGCGAACCCGCGGGGGGCUUCCAGAGGCAGAGCCCACCCAGCCUUGCGGAGAGGGCAUGCCCGGGACACCUGACCACCGCACAGCCUCCACCAGUCAGCGAUUUGGGAAACCUCAGUCACCAGGUAUCGGCAGGAUUAAAACAUGUCCAGCUUUUCCUAACGAGAGCAAGGACACGCAGUAUUUCUUCCACUUUCUUCUCGACACCUUGCACCUACCCAGACGGAAGCAGACCUUCUGCAGCCUUGUCUGUGGCAGGGAAUGGAAUUCCAGUGACUCUGCACAGAGCAGUGAUCUUGGGGCUACUUGGACGGACUGUAUACCUCCUCACUGGCACUCGCGUUUCCAGAGAGCCCGUGCCGAUGGCCGCUGACAUGACAGCUACACCUGGUCACCGAGCACAGAGAUGCACCUCGUGCAGGAUCUUGCAGAACCUAAGAUAUUUCAUAGCAACACUAAUUCCAUCUGUUGUACGUGACAGGAAAUGGGUCAGUUCUACAGUGUUUCAGGAACACACCUGA